GACGAACCGUGCGAACGUUGUUCGGAAUCACUGGGCUUAAAGGGCGCGUAGGCGGGCUUGCAAGUCUGCGGUGAAAGCCUCCAGCUUAACUGGAGAAGUGCCGUGGAUACUGCGAGCCUCGAGGAGGGUAGGGGCGUCUGGAACGUUGGGUGGAGCGGUGAAAUGCGUUGAUAUCCAACGGAACUCCGGUGGCGAAGGCGGCAUCCUGGACCAACACUGACGCUGAGGAGCGAAAGCCAGGGGAGCAAACGGG
RNAcentral lists this ribosomal RNA (253 nucleotides) under uncultured bacterium. Its description in RNAcentral is "partial 16S ribosomal RNA". It matches the Rfam family "Bacterial small subunit ribosomal RNA", at positions 524 to 776 of the family's 1533-position model. The record is from RNAcentral.